GAGACAGCAGCAGCCGCGGGAAUACGAAGGGUGCAAGCGUUACUCGGAAUUACUGGGCGUAAAGCGUGCGUAGGUGGUGGUUUAAGUCCGUUGUGAAAGCCCUGGGCUCAACCUGGGAAUUGCAGUGGAUACUGGGUCACUAGAGUGUGGUAGAGGAUAGUGGAAUUUCCGGUGUAGCAGUGAAAUGCGUAGAGAUCGGAAGGAACAUCUGUGGCGAAGGCGACUAUCUGGGCCAACACUGACACUGAGGCACGAAAGCGUGGGGAGCAAACAGGAUUAGAUACCCCUGUAGUCCCUGUCUCUUAUAA
RNAcentral lists this ribosomal RNA (308 nucleotides) under uncultured bacterium. Its description in RNAcentral is "partial 16S ribosomal RNA". It matches the Rfam family "Bacterial small subunit ribosomal RNA", at positions 505 to 809 of the family's 1533-position model. The record is from RNAcentral.